CCUAACACAUGCAAGUCGAACGGGAAGCGGUGCAUAUUGCUUCGGUGAUAAUGUGCCGUGGAGAGUGGCGAACGGGUGCGUAACACGUAGGUAACCUGCCCUGAAAGGGGGGAUAACCACGGGAAACUGUGGCUAAUACCGUAUAAUCUCGCCGUGGCGGUGGUUACGGUGAGGAAAGCUGAGGCGAUCUGGGAGGGGCCUGCGGUCGAUUAGCUGGUUGGUGGGGUAAAGGCCCACCAAGGCGAUGAUCGAUAGCUGUUCUGAGAGGAAGACCAGCCACACUGGAACCGAGACACGGUCCAGACUCCUAC
This 311-nucleotide ribosomal RNA is filed under the name uncultured bacterium. RNAcentral's name for it is "bacterial SSU rRNA". It matches the Rfam family "Bacterial small subunit ribosomal RNA", at positions 47 to 342 of the family's 1533-position model. The record is from RNAcentral.